AAAGUGGGCCAGGCAGUCGCGGCCUGCGCGGUUUCGGCCGCGCGGGGCGAGGAAAGUCCGGACUCCGCCAGGGCAGGGUGAUGGCUAACGGCCAUCCGUGGUGACACGCGGAACAGGGCAACAGAGAACAGACCGCCGAUGGCCCGGCGCAAGCCGGGAUCAGGUAAGGGUGAAACGGUGCGGUAAGAGCGCACCGCGGCUGCGGCGACGUAUGCCGGCACGGUAACCUCCACCCGGAGCAAUUCCAAGUAGGCAGGCGCGCAUCCUCGCGAUGCAGGACGGUGCCCCCGUUUCGCCUGCGGGUAGGAAGCUUGAGCGCGUCAGCAAUGGCGCGCCUAGAGGAAUGACUGCCACGCCUUGCGCGUCCUGGACGCGCGAGGUGCACAGAAUCCGGCUUAUCGGCCCGCUUUGCCG
Burkholderia gladioli BSR3 is the source of this 414-nucleotide non-coding RNA. NCBI's taxonomy places the organism in Bacteria, Pseudomonadati, Pseudomonadota, Betaproteobacteria, Burkholderiales, Burkholderiaceae. The record is from Rfam.